AAAGUACUCCCUCCGUCCAAAAAUUCGUGUCUUAGAUUUGUCUAGAUAUGGAUGUAUCAAGUCACAUUUCAGUAUUAGAUACAUCCGUAUCUAGACAAAUCUAAGACAAGAAAUUUGGGACAGAGGGAGUAGUUG
Molecule: non-coding RNA, 135 nt
Organism: Triticum urartu
Lineage: Eukaryota; Viridiplantae; Streptophyta; Magnoliopsida; Poales; Poaceae
Source: Rfam